UCCAAGAUUAGGGAAGCUUUCGGGUGGGU
Molecule: non-coding RNA, 29 nt
Filed under: Rattus norvegicus (Norway rat)
Lineage: Eukaryota; Metazoa; Chordata; Mammalia; Rodentia; Muridae
Source: RNAcentral